Molecule: ribosomal RNA, 513 nt
Filed under: uncultured bacterium
Lineage: Bacteria
Description: bacterial SSU rRNA
Rfam family: Bacterial small subunit ribosomal RNA
Source: RNAcentral
UUCUGGCUCAGAUUGAACGCUGGCGGCAGGCCUAACACAUGCAAGUCGAACGGUAACAGGAAGAAGCUUGCUUCUUUGCUGACGAGUGGCGGACGGGUGAGUAAUGUCUGGGAAACUGCCUGAUGGAGGGGGAUAACUACUGGAAACGGUAGCUAAUACCGCAUAACGUCGCAAGACCAAAGAGGGGGACCUUCGGGCCUCUUGCCAUCGGAUGUGCCCAGAUGGGAUUAGCUAGUAGGUGGGGUAACGGCUCACCUAGGCGACGAUCCCUAGCUGGUCUGAGAGGAUGACCAGCCACACUGGAACUGAGACACGGUCCAGACUCCUACGGGAGGCAGCAGUGGGGAAUAUUGCACAAUGGGCGCAAGCCUGAUGCAGCCAUGCCGCGUGUAAUGAAGAAGGCCUUCGGGUUGUAAAGUACUUUCAGCGGGGAGGAAGGGAGUAAAGUUAAUACCUUUGCUCAUUGACGUUACCCGCAGAAGAAGCACCGGCUAACUCCGUGCCAGCAGCUGC